Molecule: ribosomal RNA, 271 nt
Filed under: Agriopis marginaria (dotted border)
Lineage: Eukaryota; Metazoa; Arthropoda; Insecta; Lepidoptera; Geometridae
Description: partial 28S ribosomal RNA
Rfam family: Eukaryotic large subunit ribosomal RNA
Source: RNAcentral
AAUAGCCCAGCACUGAAUCCCGCCGUUGUCACGGCGGCGGGAGAUGUGGUGUUCGGGAGGUUCCGUUUUCUCGUCGUCGUCUCCUCCUGUCCAAGUUCGUCUUGAACGGGGCCGUUUUCCCGUAGAGGGUGCCAGGCCCGUAGCGACGGAGGACGGCGGCGAGAGGGACUCUCCUCAGAGUCGGGUUGCUUGAGAGUGCAGCCCUAAGUGGGUGGUAAACUCCAUCUAAGGCUAAAUAUUACCGCGAGACCGAUAGCGAACAAGUACCGUA